RNAcentral lists this long non-coding RNA (779 nucleotides) under Homo sapiens (human). RNAcentral describes it as "HSALNT0107521". The record is from RNAcentral. Lineage: Eukaryota; Metazoa; Chordata; Mammalia; Primates; Hominidae.
CACGAUUCUGAAUACAAACACAAUACCAACAGUUAGAUGUAUCUCACAAUAUUUAUAAUGGGACAAGUGAGCCUGAGGUCAACUUCCUCUGCUAGGAGGCAAAGUUGUCGGAUGUGAGAUGUUCCUGCAAAUCAUUCCACUGUCCCCUCUUCAGGUUCCUGAGUACUGGCAGUACAGCACUGAUGUGAAGACAUUGUUCUGAGUCAGACAAGAAACCAUGGGCUUGAGAUUGGCUCUGACAGAAUGCCUUGUGUUCUCCGUGAAGCCUCAAGUAUAUAUUCAAGUUCCAAUUCUCUUAGCUAUAAAAUUAUGAUUUUAAUGGAAUCUACCUCAUAAGGAUAUUAGGAGGAUUAAAUUUGAUAAAAUAUGCAGUGUAAUUUUCACAGUGAUUUUAAGUGCUCGAUAAAUGUUAGUAUAAUAAGUAGUGAUUCUAAUAAUUUUUUAUGAUUCUUAUGGAAUAUAGUCACAAAAUGAAACCUGGUAUAUCAUUUGCAAUUUAUAAUCUGCUAUUUUUGUUUAAAUACAUUUGAGUAAUAUUAACUGAUAGUAGUGAAAAUGAGCAUUUUAACUUGUUCCUGAUAGUAUUGGAACAGCUUCAAGUUUUUCACCAUCAUACACAGUGCUGCUGAUUGUUUUAAGAUUUAUAUUUUUAAAAUCAUAUAAAUAAUGUAUAUAUACUUUCACAAAUUUUUUUUCUUUGUCGGGAAUGUAUAUUUAUUUUAUAAUCCUUUAAUAUCUAUUAACUUGAUCAUUUUUUCCUCCUCCAGAUUAUAAUUAUG